CUCAAAAUUAAGAUGAUGAAGAGAUGAAGGCCAACAUAAUACUACUGAAGGUUGCCUAAAAGGGACUGGAAACCACCAAGGGGAGAGGAAAGAAGACUGUGAGUGAAUGCUGUUACUCAGUUUUACAGCUGCUUUGAAUGAUGUGAUAUCUACAGCUGCGUUGGGUAUAAUCCUCUGGCCACACUAUUUGCCUGCAUGUUGUUCAUCCCAUAUCACCACAAAUACCAGGGCUUCCCAUCACUUAAGAUAA
This 250-nucleotide long non-coding RNA is filed under the name Anas platyrhynchos (mallard). RNAcentral describes it as "lncRNA (ENSAPLG00020012072.1)". The record is from RNAcentral. Lineage: Eukaryota; Metazoa; Chordata; Aves; Anseriformes; Anatidae.